GACGAACGCUGGCGGCGUGCUUAACACAUGCAAGUCGAACGGAAAGGCCCUGCUUUUGUGGGGUGCUCGAGUGGCGAACGGGUGAGUAACACGUGAGUAACCUGCCCUUGACUUUGGGAUAACUUCAGGAAACUGGGGCUAAUACCGGAUAGGAGCUCCUGCUGCAUGGUGGGGGUUGGAAAGUUUCGGCGGUUGGGGAUGGACUCGCGGCUUAUCCGCUUGUUGGUGGGGUAGUGGCUUACCAAGGCUUUGACGGGUAGCCGGCCUGAGAGGGUGACCGGCCACAUUGGGCCUGGGAUCCGGCCCAGCCUCCUACGGGAGGCAACAGUGGGGAAUAUUGCACAAUGGGCGGAAGCCUGAUGCAGCAACGCCGCGUGCGGGAUGACGGCCUUCGGGUUGUAAACCGCUUUCGCCUGUGACGAAGCGUGAGUGACGGUAAUGGGUAAAGAAGCACCGGCUAACUACGUG
Molecule: ribosomal RNA, 468 nt
Filed under: uncultured bacterium
Lineage: Bacteria
Description: partial 16S ribosomal RNA
Rfam family: Bacterial small subunit ribosomal RNA
Source: RNAcentral